CCACUACCAUAGCCAGUAACGGAGCCAUAGCCUUGCUGCUGAUCAUAUGUUGGUGGUUGUCCAUACCCUGAUUGAGAUUGUGCAUUAUAUGCAUUAUAGCUGUCCUGAGCAUAACCCUGUCCGGGUUGGCUAUAACCAGAAGAAGGUGGUUGACUAUAAUUGUAUGCAGAGCCAUCAGCUGGAGGUGCAGGACCUCCAGGAUUUUGUGGUUGCUGUGGCUGUUGACUAUAGUAAUCAUAGCCACCAGCAUGAGUUGACUGUUGGUGAGAUGGUGCAGAAGACUGGUCCCAAUUGGUGGAAUAUCCACCUGGUUGUUGGGGAGGAUAGCCCGAAUAUUGUUGCUGAGGCAUGUUAUACUGAGGUGAUGGACCAGAAUAUGCUCCAGGUUGCACAUAUCCAUAACCAGGUUGCUGCAUUGGUGCAGGGGGGGCCCAGUUAGAGGGUGGUCGAGAUUGGUAACCUUGCUGAGGAUACCCACCAGACAUUGAAGGAUUUCUAAGACGAUUCUGUGGAUUCAAAUUGAAAACCAAAAUAAAGGGAGUGAGUUCACCCAAAUUUCCACACAAGACAAGUAUAGGAAGCAACAUAUGCACACAUACACAGGUUAAACUUACAAAUGCAAAAAUCAACAUGUAAUGAACACGAGAUAAAGGGUAUAUAUAUUAUCUUGCAUUAACGGGUUGCAUACAUGAUCAGAAAGGGAUACGAAUACCUACAUACCGUACUGGUUCGUGAUAAAACUGAGUUACUCCAGCAGAAGCACACCCUUUCCCUAUUCGAAUUGAAUGGGUACAAAAGAAAGCACAGACCAUAGAAGCAAACAAUCAUUCAAUAUUUAUUGCCUUGAAAAGGCAAUCCAUCAUAUAGUAUAUCAAUAUGCAAUAUCUUACUCCAAUUGUUACACUAUACAAUAUAUCAUUCAUAUUCAUAUUAAUUCAACAAGAGUGACUGGACUACAGAUAUUUCACACCCUAUUAAGAUGAAUGCGCAACUCCAAAUUCAAAUAUACAGACUGUUGAAACAACUUUUCUGUGCUCCCAUGUACAUUCUCUCAUCCUUUGUACAACCCAUUCUAAUAGUCCAACCUCGGGAUCAUCAGUUAAAAACAAUAAAAUUAAAUAUUAUUUUAAUGGAACAUGAAUUAGAAAGAAAAGAAAAAUAAUUGAAUGAGGCAGAACAGAAGUGGCACAAAAUGUAUAACAGACAAAUCUUAAUAGAAAUCUUAAACAUAACUGGUUAGUUAAGAAAACUAUUUAACACUGGACAAGAAUAAUAAAACUGGACAAGAAUAAUAGUAUAGGGAAAAUAAUUAAAGUGCUGAACGACGGACAAAUUUCAGGUUACCUAUGCCAAAUGUAAGUCCAGUAUAAGAUACGAGGAUAAAAUACUACUCCAAGUACACUAAGGUUCUUUUUAGAAAUAAACUGAAAAGCACAAGAGACCUAGUUGAAAACUAUUUCAACAUAAUUCAACAUUGAGUCUAAUAAUGACACUAUAGUCAAAAAGUAUUAGUAGGAGACUUACUGCCCUUGAUAAUAAAUAUCAAAACUGAGAUUUAGAACCAUACCAGGGCAUGCUGAGGGAACACCAACAAAAGGAUUCAUGUUGGUGUCACCAAUGGUCCAAUAGACACUAACCCUACAACAGUCCCAAUAACAAUAUCAGUCAUAGGAUACACAAUUAAUAAGCAUAUUCCACUGUCGAAAGGUUAUAAUCUCAAUGAGUAUCCAUCUGGCCCAAAAAUAUUUCAUAAUAACAGUAGCCUUCAGAGCACCAGGAAUCUAAACCAACAAAAACAAUGAAAGACGCACCUCACCAAAGCACUGGGCUAAGUGAAAAACACAAUUAAAAUACGGUCUUUGUAAAUAUAUGGUAUCUUGGUCAAGAAAACUGACAGGCCAAUUCUAAAAUAUUGCUACCAACGUCCUUGAUUCGUGGAUGUAUAAAAGAGAUAAUGGCUAAGACGUAUUAGCUAAUUAUAUAGAGCAGACUACACAUACACAAACAUAAAGACACAGUUGACAAGUCAGACCCUGAAAGUUCAUCAUGACCAUCACCUAAUCCUAGACUAAACAUAAAGGAAGAUGCGUAUUGCUAAUAUAUCAAGACUGUUAAUCGAACAAGAUACCAUACAAUUGUUAACAACAUUAUACAGCUAAUAAUUGAUGGCUAUAGCAGUGAACGGUCUCACUAAUCAUGUUUCCACUUGGCCAGCUGACGCAACAACACUGAGGAGUUGGAGAUUACAAGCAAGAACAUCGUAACAGCCAUUAGUCUUCUACCUUUGUGCAUUAUUUUGCAUAAGUCUUGAAACACUUGCACAAUAUGAAAAUAUGUACUAAUUUUCUUUUGAGAACAAUACAGUAGGUAACAGAGAUCCGAAUAAUAUUAAUGUAUCAUAUAAUAAAGACCACUUGUUAAAGGCACAUUAGGCUCUGAAAAAAUUUCUACUUCCUUAAACAUACUCUAUCAUCUAAGCUGCUUUGGAAGAGAGAUCAAUGCAUCCCGAAUAUGCAUCAAGUUACUAAUAAUUGUCAUACAGCUAAGCUGCUUCGGUCCAGAUCAAAACAUCAAUAAUAUACAAUGUAUAAUAAUGGUCACAGUGUUAUGCUGUAUCAAUAAUAAGAUCAAGGAAUUAAUUAAUAUGAACAGAAUAAAUGUCAUUUAUGCAAAACUAAAGUGAAAACCAUCACAUGAUUUACCAAAACUAUUUUUUCCCUGCAAAGGAACAAAUCGGAGAGUACAAAAAUCAUGUAUCAUGUUACAGGAAUCAAUCAGAUCUAACUUUAUAUUUUAAUAUCAUAAAAAAUAAAAAGACCCAACAGGCAAUGACAAGCACACCGUAUUCAUCUCACAAUAACAUAAAGCUUGCACGUAAAUCAACCUAGUUUGAUCAAACAGUCUAGAUGAUAAAUAGAUUGUGCAACAUACAGAGUACAAAACCCAGUAGAAAAACAGCAAUUUUAAACACUAGACUAGACUUGGCCUUACCAGGCAGAUAUGCCUAAGCCAAAUCUGGCAAAAAGAAGCACCAUUAACAUACCUCGCCACUGAUGAUUUGAUUAACCAACUCCUUUGCAGACUCAAUUUGCUCAGGUGUCCCAUCAACUUUUAAUGUUCUUUCAGUUGAUGUGUCACCUGGAGGAAGAUGCAGAGGUAUCACCUGAAAAAACAUAUAAACAUUAGCCAAAAGUCAUAAAAGUUGGCCGUUAACACAAUCUCUUUUCAAAUUAGUUGCAAUCACAAAGCUACGGUAAAAAAAAACAUAACAACAAGGCUACACUAACUAUGAUUUAUCACCGAUAUCUAAUACACAAAUAAGAGAACAGCGUUCUAUAUAUCACUUAUAAGUACAAACCUGAAUCCGUGCUCCUGUAGAAGCUUGCAUAUUCUUUAUAGUUUCUCCUCCUUUGCCAAUUAUAAGGCCAACCUGAAGAUGCACACGAUAAACAUAUCAACCCAAAGAGAUAGAAAAAAACAGAUCUGAACACGGAAAUUACGCAUGACAUUGUACAAAGCAUACACUCAUAUCUCCCUUUCACACCUUAUUAUUUGGAAUUCUCAUGACAAAUUCAUCUGACCCAGCUUGUCCAGUCAGUCUUCGAGCAACAAUGCCAGAACCUCCAGAUUCAGCCUGGUACAACAACAGUUGUCAUCGUAUAUAUUGCAAUAAUUAAACAUGUGAGAAAUUUAUCAAGAAACAGACCUCCUUCGUAAGAUUAUCGUAACGUCAAAUCUAUGAUAAACGAAAUUUAAUACAUACAUGAUUCACAGAAAAAAAAAUAGUAUAAAAUGUGAUUAACCUCAGCAAGAACUUCAUUUAUGAGUUUCUCCGCAGAAGCAAUUGCCUCGGGAGUGCCCAUAAGCUCAACCGUUCUUGAAGUAGAAUUAGGGUCGGCGUCCAUAUCGCGAGUAACUUGAAUUUUAGCACCAGACUGCAACUGGAGAUACUUAAUAGUCUCUCCACCUUUGCCAAUAAUCACACCAACCCUGCCGUUAGGGAUAUCGAUCUUCUUGCUCGUUCCUUGGUGACUGUAGGAGACGGGAGGAACGGCUGAGUACUGAGGCUUCGCAUCUACGUUCACGGAAAACAGAGUUUAUAAAACCCUAACCUAAACGAGAAGAAUAGUGGAGCAGAGGGGAUAGCUAGUUACCGUAAGAAUCGAAGCCGGAGGUAGGAGCGCCGUUAUCGGGUUUGGCACGCUUGGCGUCGAGCGGGGGAGGAGGAGCAACGCUGAGGAGGCGAGUGGCGACUUCUUGAGCACGCUGCUUGGCAAGCUCGAUGCCGGUAGCGGGGCCGGCGGAGAAGCCGGUGGGUCUAUCGGAGGAUUGGUCUUCAUACUUGCGUUUGAGGGGCGUAGAGUCGUUGGGAGAUGAAUAGUGGGCUUCGUCCGCCAUUGGCACAAACCCUAAAGACGUUAGGUGUGUAAGAGAGGGUGGUGAUGUUAUUUAUAAUAUAUAGUGGUGGCUAGUGUGACCCCUACCAUGGGUGGGGCAGGGUAGAAAAAAAGGAGAUAUUUUGCAUCCCUUCGCUUGAGGCACCUUUACGUCAUUCAUACAAUUAUACAGAUAAAACUAUUUUUAUCUCUAUUUUUCUAUCUAUCAUCUUAUUAUUUUUAAUUUUUCUAUCUAUUUUUUAUUUUUAAGAUUUUAUAUUUAAGAUAAACAUUUUGAUAUUAUCGGUGUAUCUACUACUAAUUAAUAUUAAUUAACUUUUAAUUUUUUAUAAUUAUAUCUUGUGUUUUUAUUUAAAAUUAACAUGAUUACAUCAUCAAUAAUAAUAAAAAUAAAACUAAUUUAUGUUUAUAGAUUCAACUUUUAUGUUAUUGUAGGGUUUAAUUUUUUAUUUUCUUCAUUUUUAAAAAAUUAAACUAAACAUUUUUAAUUUACUACUUUUUUAUUUUUAUUUUGUAAAAAAUCAUUUUUUUAUUUAUUAAUUAUAUUUCUAACUAUUUAAAACAUUAAAUUAUUUUUUUAAUGCAUUCAAAAAUAAAAUUAUCAAAAAAAUUAAUUUAUUAAUUUUAAUUUUUUUACUUUUGAAAUGGUGUUAGAUAGGGAUAUAAAAAUAAAAGAGUGUUAGGUAAGAAAAUAAAGACAAGUGCGGGAAAAUAAAAAUGUAAAUAGUGUUGUUAUAUGAGGGAUUGAAUCUACAAUUCUCACUUCAUUUCAACUUUUUCGCUGUUUCUUUAAUCAAUAUUUUUUAAUAAUAUUCAUACAAAAAUAAAGGUAAUUUUUUAAUGAUAUGUUUUUUUAUUAACAAUGAUAUAUUUUAUUAAAUAAGAGUUUAUUUGCGAUAUUUUUUGUAAACUUUAUUCGGUUAAAUUGAAAAAAUUAGUAUUGAGUGACUUUUUAUGGAUUUUUAAAAUUAAAAAAAAAAAUAAAGAAGCCUAUAGGAUAAAAAUAAAUAUGUUGCUUAUGGAUUCAGUUGAAAUUAUCUUAAAGAGAAACUUUAUUUGAAUUAGUUAUAAUAAGUUUAUUUAAUUAAUGUAUUAGUAUAUUAACAAUUACCAUAUACAAUUUAGAUAUUGGCAUUCUCAUUAGUAUUUUUUUAAUAUUUUUUACCGUGAGAUCAUACAACUGAUGUAAUGGUCAAGGUUAACGGCCCCACGACCGAUAGUUCAAGUCCAGUUAUGCUCAAUCAAGGUCGACGAAGUUAAUUCGUGAUUAGGAGUCAAGUAAUGCAUCCCUAAGCAUGAUUCAGCCCCUUAACCCGACCCAAUAAAAAAAGUCAAUCAAAGAUAAUAUAAGAUUUGAUUCAAAUAUUAUAUGUGAAACUAAUAUAAGAUUUGAUUAAAAUAUUAUAUGUAAGACUAAUACAAGAUUUAUAAAUAAAAUUUAUGAACUCGACUUUAUAAAUAGAUUAAUUAUAUAUAUACUAAUAGAUGUGAACAUACAUAUUUAAAAUUAUAUAUGACUUUAACUAAAUAUUUAUUUAUUAAAAGUAUUUAUUAUUCUAGCUGAAUCCUGAUAUCGAACAACUUUUUACAAAUACUCCACACGUAUUUAGUACCAAGACUUCUUUGAUACUCUCUGUUUGAAUUGAGGUGGAAAUUUGUGAGGAAGGGAGAUAGUGAAUUGAAGAAGAUUAUGGGGAAUGUGUGAUGUUGUUUGGAUUGAGGGAUGAUAGAGUGGAUUUGUUAUGAUUGUUUAUUAAAAUUUGUAAGUGAUGAGAUAGUUAUGACAUAAUUUAGAAAUUAUUUUAAAGGUGUAAAAUGCAAAUUUACAAAUUUAUCUUUGUCAUUAAAAAAUAUUUUAAUAAUGAGUUAGGUUUUUUUUUUUUGUAAGUUUGAGUUAAUUUUUUUUCUAAUAUAUAAUAUUCAUAAUUACUCUUAUUUUGUAAUACAAAAUAAUUCCGUGUUAAAUUAAAAAAAUAUAUUAAAUAUAUUAAAAUUUAUGAAAAUAAUAUUUAUUAUUAUAUACAUUUGUUAUUUUAUAUAAUUAUAAAUGUUUUGUUGAUAUGUCAAAUAAUAUGAAUAAAUUUAGCAACUUGUUCUUCAACUAUUGAAGGAUAUGCAUCCUUAACAAGUUGCCCUAAUUCGUUUACAUAAUAUUGAAUGAAUGCUUAUGGUUACAUGCGAAUAAUGUCAUGAGAACAUCCCGUGUGCACCAAAUACUCCAUCAAUUAUUGUUUGCAAGUUGAGUAUAUAUUUUCAAUUGUUCUUAUAUUUUUUAAAUGAGAUUCAUGUUCACACGAGCAAUAUCAUUAUAAAUUGCAAUUGUAUCAUCAAAUUCUUCUUUGUCGUUUCAAAGUGGUUUCCAAUUGUUUUCGUUAUCCAUCUAAUAUUUACCUUAUCAUUGACAAUCAUAAAAUAGUUUAUCGAUACACAUCAAAUAAUUUAUGCUACGAAUAACUCUAACCACUUAAAGUUGGAGUUAGUGCAAUAGUACUAAGGUUAAUAUUAGAGUGAUGUGAAGAAUAAUGUUAAGAUUAAGACGCACUUUAAUAUUUAUAAUUAAAUCUAUAAAAAAAACACAUAAAAAUAAACAAAACAGUAAAAAUGUAAAAAAGCAAAUUUAAAUUUAAAUGAUUCACUAUAUCUUGUUAAUAAAAAAAUGUAACACUAAACACACAGUAAAAAAAAAAAAUAUAUAUAUAUAUAUAUUAAAAACAAUAAAGACAUUGAAUAAAAAAAACAGUGAACACAAAGUAAUAAGAAAAAUGUAAAUAAAUUUAUAAAAAUUAAAAAUAAUAGAUGUAAAUGCAUUUAUAAAAAACUAAAAAUAAUUACCACAUAAAAAAAAACACUAAACACCUAAAAAAAUUUAAACACAAUUAUUAAAAUUAAAAAUAGUAAACAAAUAAUAAAAAAAAUGUAAAAACAAAAACACAAAAAACACAUAAUAACAAAUAAAUAUACAAAUAUAUUUAUAAAAAAUAAAAACAGUAGUUACAUAAAUUAAAAAGACAUGAUAAUAAAAAAUAUAAAACAUUAAACAAAUAACAAAAAAAAUACAGAACAGUAAUCAAAUAAUAAAAAAUUAAACAGUAAACACAUAAUAUAAAAAAUAUAAAUACAUUUAUAAAAAUAAAAAAUUUAUAAACACAUAUAAAAACAAAAAAAAUUAAAUACAUUUAUAAAAAUUAAAAUCUGUAUGUAAACCCAUAAAAAAGCAAACAAGACAAAAAAAACCUAAGAAAAAAAUUUAAAUACAAUUAUUAAAAUAAAAAAACAAUAAACACAUAAAAAAACUAAACAGUUUCUUGUUAUUAAAAAAAAUUAAAAAACAUUAAACACAUAAUAUAUAUAUAUAUAUAUAUAAAUAUAAUUAAGAAAUAAGUAAAUACAAUAAAAUAAAAUAAAAAUAAAAAAACUAAACAAUAAACACAUAAUAAAUAAAAAAAUAGUAAAAAAACAAUAAAGACAUAAUAAUAAAAGAAAAUGUAAAUACAAUUUUAAAAAAUUAAAAAUAAUAAACUACUUUUUUUAUGAAAUACAUUUAUAAAAUUAAAAAAUAGUAAAUACAAAAAAAAAAGUGUAAAUCCAUUUAUAAAAAUUAAAUACAGUAAACACAUAAUAAAUAAAAAAGUCAAAUAUAUUUAUAAAAAUUAAAUACAAUAAAUACAUAAGAAAAACUAAACAAUAGUACAAAUGCAACAAAAAAAUGUAAAUACAAUUAUUAAGAUUAAAAACAGUAGACAUAUAAAAAAAAUAAACAGUAUCUUGUUAAUAAAAAAGAUAUAAAAACAAUAAAGACAUAAUAACAAAUAUAUAUAUAAAAAUUAAAAACAAUAAAACAUAGAAUAAAAAAAACAACAAACACAAAAUAAUAAAAAAUAUAAAAACAGUAAACAAAUAAUAAUAAAAAUAUAACUUUUUUAUAAAAAAUAAAAACAAUAAACACAUCAACAAAUGUAAAUGCAUUUAUAACAACUAAAAAUGGUAUUAUUAAAAUUAAAAAUAAUAAACACAUAAAAGUAAUAAUAAAAAUGUAAAACAUUAAACACAUAAUAAUAUAAAAAAACAUUAAAGUUAUAAAAUAAAAACUAAACCGUAAACAUAAUAAUAAAAAUAUUUAAUUACCUUAUUCGUCCCUAUAUUUGGGGUCAAUAUUCAAUUUGAUACCGUGGUUUUUAAAAAAAUCAAUUUGGUACCGUGAUUUAAAAAAUAAUCAAUUUGGUCCCUAUGUCUUUUAAAAUGUAUCCAAAUUGGUCUUUCCGUUAAAUCCCUCCUAACAGCUAACAGCGUAAGGUGUUGCUUAUGAUAAAGAGAAUGUCUAUAUGGGGAGAGAGAUGUGAGAUUAUUAUUAUUAUUAUAGUUAUUAUUAAUACUAUUAUUAUUAUUGUUAUUUUUAUUACUAUUAUUAUUAAUAUUAUUUUUCUUAAUAUUAUUACUAUUAUUGAUAUUUUUAUUACUAUUAUUACUAUUAAUAUUAUUUUUCUUAAUAUUAAUAUUAUUAUUAUUACUAAUAAAAAAUAAAAUAAAAAUAGUAAUAAUAAUAAUAUUAAGAAUAAUAAUAAGAAAAAUAAUAUUAAUAAUAAUAAUAAUAAUAGUAAUAAUAAUAUUUAUAUUAAGAAUAAUAAUAAUAAUAAUAAUAAUUCUCAAUCUCACCUCUCCCUCCACAUAAACACUCUAUCUCCCACAUAAACACUCUCUCUAACCCACAUUCUUUCUGUGUCACAUAAGCAACACCUACGCUGUUAGGUGGAACUUAACGGAAAUGACCAAUUUGGAUACAUUUUAAAAUAUAUAGGGACCAAAUUGAUUUUUUUAAAAACCACGGUACCAAAUUGAAUAUUGACCCCAAAUGUAUGGACGAAUAAGGUAAUUAAAUAUAAUAAAAACUGUAAAACCAAUAAACACAUAAUAAUAAAAAAGAAAAGUAAAUACAUUUAGAAAAAUAAAAAACUGUAAACACAAAAUAUAAACUAAACAAUAAAUACAUAUAAAAGAGUAUAAAUAUUGUACUGUUACAGUCUAUAGGACUGAUAGCACGUCUCGAACUUCGUCACUGGAUCGACCGAGUCCCUAUGGCCUGUAUCUAUAAGGGCAAUCGAAAUCAUGAUUCCAAUUACUCUCCAGCAAGAUCAGCAAGGCUAAUCCAUGAUUAGGAGCUAGGUAAUGCAACCCUAAUCACGGUCCAACUCCCUAAUCCAACCCAACAAGAGAAAACUCGUCAAAGGUAAUAUAAAUAACACAUAUUCUAAGGAUCAGGUACAUUAUCUACCGUGCUCUAGCUAUCGAGUGUCGAACCCUUUUGUUGACUUUAGCGUCAAAGUGUCUUCUGCAUGUACUCUCAUUCGGUACUCACGAGACGACCGAGAACCGAGGCUAGGAAGGAAAGGAGAGGAACGAGUAAGAAAGGAAGUUGAAGAGUAGCACAACCGACCCAUAAAAAAGAAGAAGACGAGUUCUCUCAAUAGUUUUUUAGGCCCCAUCCCCGAACGAAAAUAAAUACAUUUAUUAAAAAUAAAAACAGUAAACAUAAUAAAAAAAUAGUUACCACACUUAAUAGAAAAAAACUCUAUAUAAAAAAAAAUUAUUAAAAACUUACGUGAAGGUGAAGGCAGAGAAGAAACCGUGUGAUAAACAUAACCAACCAAAGAACCACUGCAAUCAGACACAAGAAGAUGAACCAAGAUCCAAUCUGAAAAAAAAAAAAAAAACAGAAUGAAUUCCAAUAUUUUUCUCAAAUAAUGACUGAUAAGAUUAAUAAAAAAACUCACACAAAAAUUAAAAUAAAAUGCAACAAUUGUUAUGAUUUAAAGAAGAGGACGGCAACGAAUUUUCGAAACUUUAGACGAGUAAAAAGAAACGAGAUAGGUGAAUUAUAUAGCAAAACCUUUUACUAUAAUAGUAAAACAAAAUUAAGAAAAAAUGUUUAAUUAUUUAUUUUUUAUAUUUUAUUAAAGAAGGAAAUAAAUGGUUAUGUAUGGAGAGGGAAAAGAAUGAAAUUUGGGGAGGAAGGAAUAUGAGAGAAGAAAAGGAAAAGGAUAAAGUGUUGGAAGUGAGGAUUAAUUAUUUCUUAAUUAGAUAUUUAUUUAAAAAUAAUAGAAAUUAAUUUAAAAAUUAAAAAAGAAAAAUUUAAAUAAUUUUUAAUUUAUUUAAUAUUGUAAUUAAUUAUUUUGGUAUUUAAAAGUUGUUUUUUAUUUGAUGAUUGUCUUGUAGUAAUAGAUGACAAACCAUUAUAAUAUUAUAAUAAUAUUUUAUUUUAAAAAUUAAAUUAAAUUAUUAAAAUAUUAAUUUAUUUGUUUGUGAAAUUAUACUGUAUAUAGUGUCCACAUAUCACCAAUCAUUUAAAAUUCUCUACAUCACAAUUUACUGUCUUUUUUGUUUAGUAUGUGAAUUUAUCAGCUUAUUGUGAUUUUAGUUUCUCAAUUUACCCACAUCCCAGGUUAAUAUCUUUUUAAUUCCUAAAAUUAGUUACACAAUGUCAAUUAAGAGAUUAAAGUAGAAAUAAAAUGCUAAAUUCAGAAACUAAAAUACUCAUAAAUAAUUAAAUUCGGAGCUAAAACGAUAAAAUACAGUAAAGUCUGGGAUAAAAAAUUAAUAAAUAAAUAAUGAUAAAGUUAUAGUUUUACCUUAAUUUUUGAAUUUUAGUACUUUCAAAAACUGUUCUUUACCUGUUUUGUGCGACCAACUUAGCACACUGUUGUGUUUCGCGGCUGGGCUGCUUCAUUUCUCUACCACCACCAACAACCAUCGUCUUGUCACCUCAGAGUCAUCUACAGUUGUUCUUGGGGAUUUUGUGUUUUCAUUCACAUUUCACACUUACAUUAAAGGUAAAAACGAUUUUGAAUAUAUAGAUUUUGUUUGCAUAUUGCACCCAUUUUCUUUGUAUUCUUGGCACUGGCUUUUACUUUUUGGAAAAAGGGUUUGUCUCUAACAACGUGAGAAACUGUUGGAAUACCUGUUGGGAGAGAUUAAGCAUAGUGUUUGAAGCAAAAUUGUAUCUUGGAAUGGGAAACAAAAAGUUUAGACAACAGGGUUAACAAAACAAUACUCAUAUCCAUUCUCUCUAUAUUGGUUGUCAUGUACCUGGGUCUGAACAGUUAUACUAUGUUGCAUCUCAGUUCAAAAUGGUCAAAUUUUUCAUUUUCAUCAAUGUCAUUUGUUAUCAAUGUCAUGAUAUUUAGUUUCUCCAUUUGUUGUGUUUAAUGUUUGCUUUAUGAAAACAAGAGAGAUUUAUUCAUUAAUGCUAAGUAGUUAACUCUCUAUGGACUGUAGUAAUCUAAACAGUUUAGCUUUUUCACUUUCCAUUAUCAGUCCUUCUACACCUCUUUCUUCCAAGUCUUGCUACCAUGAAAAGUAGACAUGUCUAUAAUUAUGUGGUUCUGCAUCUAAAUUAUAAUAUAACACUAUAUUAAUAAAUUAGUUUCCAAAAUUAUGGAUUCUAGUUAAUUAGUAUAUGAAAUUGUAAAAGUAUAAUUGGAGUCAUCAAAGUUGGAGGAGUCAUUAUAAUAUUUCAGUACAAGAAUUAAAUUGGCUAAUGAUCUAGAACUAAAUUAUUUGUCAUUUUUUUAAUAUCUAGAAUUCAUAUAACAUUUUAUAAAUUAAAAAAAAACCAUAUGUAUAAAUGAUUUUAUUCAACAAGAGAAUCAUUAAUAAUGUAUUCUUUGUUCACCUCUGGACUCUGUCACUCUAUGUGUGUAUGUGUGUAUACACAGUCAAUUUUAAAUUUUAAAUAUGGUUUUAAUUCUUGUAAUCUACUUUCUGAUAUGUUUCUGGUCACUCUACACAAACUCAGCUUAUCUCUCAAUCUUAAAUAAUUAUGAUUUAAUUUACUGUUUAAAGAAAAAAAUCAGUUAAGUUGUAAAAAAAAAUUGUAUUGUUUUUUUCAUUUUUUUUUUAAAUUUUUAGAAAAUUAAACCAAAUUUUCUUUAAUUAUUUACUUUUAUUUUUUCAUCUUUUGUCCUGAACUUUAAUUGUAGAAUGUCCUAAAAAAACUAAACUCUGGAGAGCAUUAUUAAAAAGAAAAAAGGGAGAGAAUUGGUUGCUUGCUCGCGAAGUAUGAGGGUCUAAACAAAGUUAUAAUACUAUAUUUCCCAUUAUGAAUCUUUUAAAGAAGCAUUUUGUUUCAGUUUAUCGUAUACUCUUGGUUGACAAGUUUGUGAAGGAAAGGCCCCGAACACACAUUCAGAGCUUUAUUCACCAUUACUUCAAGGUAAAAGUUCUGAAUCAAAACCUCAUAUAUCUUUCUUCUGUAUCAAGUACAUGUUCUGUAAAUUGUUUUCUAUGACUGACUUCACUUGUUUUGAAUUUGAACACAUUUUAGAAUCACUUGAAAGAAAAUGGCAGAACAAAAUAAGGAAUGGGCUGUGGGAAUUGACCUUGGCACAACAUACUCAUGUGUUGCUGUAUGGCUAGAGGAACACUGUCGAGUGGAGAUAAUUCACAAUGAUCAGGGCUGUAGAACAACGCCUUCAUCUGUGGCUUUCACAGAGAAUCAAAGAUUGAUCGGUGAUGCUGCUAAAAAUCAGGCUGCUAUUAACCCAACUAACACUGUCUUUGGUAAAUAAUUGCUUUUUAUUGCAUGUGAAUUCAUUUAAAUGUUUAAACUAGUUAUUUGUGUUGGCUUUUAGUUGCAAAUGAUACCUUAACAUUCAUCAUUUACUUUGUGCCAAAAAGUAUACUUUUUGUCCAGUACUCUAAUUUGUUCUAUAACUUUAAAUUAAUAAAUAUCAUUCCAUAAGACUAUUUUGAUUAGCAUCAUUGAGGAAUAGCCUUAAAUUCGUGCUCGAUUAAUGACUAAUUUUGCAGAUGUGAAAAGGUUAAUCGGCAGAAGAUACAGUGAUCCCAUUAUCCAGGACGAUCUAAAGUUGUGGUCAUUUAAGGUCAUUGCUGAUUCUGAUGACAAACCCAUGAUAGCUGUUUCAUACAAAGGUCAGGAGAAACACAUUUCAGCUGAAGAAAUCUCAUCUAUGAUCCUCACAAAGAUGCGGGAGACUGCAGAAGCGUACUUGGAAUCAGGGGUUAAGAAUGUUGUGGUUACUGUGCCUGCUUAUUUUAAUGACUCUCAGCGACAAGCAACCAAAGAUGCUGGUACCAUUGCUGGCCUCAAUGUCAUGCGGAUAAUCAAUGAACCCACAGCUGCAGCUCUGGCAUACGGCCUUGACAAGAGAGCAAAAUGUGUUGUUGGAGAGAGAAAUAUUUUCAUCUUUGAUCUUGGUGGUGGUACAUUUGACGUGUCUCUGCUCACAAUCAAGGGUGAUGUCUUCAAAGUCAAGGCCACUGCUGGUGACACGCACCUUGGAGGAGAGGACAUGGAUAACAGAAUGGUAAAGUACUUCGUUGAGGAGUUCAAGAGGAAGAACAAAGUUGACAUCAAUGGGAACCGGAGAGCCUUGAGGAGGUUGAGAACUGCUUGUGAGAGAGCAAAAAUAAUAAUAAUAAUUGAAUGCGGACUGACCCACAAACUCAUGGGCCAGCACUUAUGCAGAGCGAGACCGAAAAUCACUCGUGCAAGAUUUGAGGAGCUCAACUUGGACCUCUUUAAAAGGUGUAUGGAGACAGUAGAUAUGUGUCUUGUUGAUUCUAAGAUGGACAAGAGUGAUGUAGAUGAUGUUGUUCUCGUUGGUGGUUCUUCUAGGAUUCCCAAAGUGCAACAGCUAUUGCAAGACUACUUCAAGGGGAAGGAACUGUGCAUGAGCAUCAACCCUGACGAGGUUGUUGCUUAUGGAGCAGCAAUUCCCAACUUAGUGUUAUUAGAUGCUACACGGCUGUCACUUGGUAUAUCUUUAAAAGGAGAUCUCAUGAGUGUUGUGAUUCCUAGGAACACCACCAUUCCUGUUGAGAAGAAAAAAGUAUAUGUUAAGAUCAGAAGAUUUCCCAAUCUUAUGUCCAAAGUAAAGGUUUACGAGUGUGAAAGGACAAUAGCAAGUGAUAACAAUUUGCUUGAUUUUUUUAAUCUUUAUGGCAGUCCUUAUGCUCUUUGAGGCCAUCCUUUAACUGUAAGUUUCAGUAUAGAUGUUGAUGGUACUUUAAGUGUAAUUGCUGAGGAAGAAAGCAGUGGAAGUAAGAACGGGAUUACUGUAACCAACGACAAGGGAAGACUAUCAACUCAACAAAUUAUGAGAAUGAUUCAAGAUGCCGAGAUAUACAAGGCUGAAGACCAGAAGUACCAAAAGAAAGUUCAAGCAAUUGAUGCUAGCCAGCAGACAGAAACAGAGGUGUUUGUGGAUCAUCUGAAUGAGGUGAAGAGCCUCAUUGAACUCAUUAUGAGGAUUAACUAGUUUGUUUCAAAACUCAAAUUUGGAAAAUCGAUUAUGCUUCUUGAAAAACAUCACAAUCGAUUUUUUAAAUUAUUCUGAAUGUAUAGUGUUGAUAAAAAAAAUAAGAUAAACCAGUUAUUUAGUUUCUCAAACCACUUUUCUUGUUCCUCAAAGCACGAGCUCUCUCGUUUUGUUCUAGGAAGAAGAGCAAAUCACAACAAACAAAACUAUCACAAAACUAAUUUUAUUUAUACACAAAGUUCACGUUCAUGAGUCUACAAUUUUUUUGUCAAGAUUCUUUUGCACCCAGCACUGUAAAGAAGAAAACCGAAAACUCAUUCACAUGCAGAUGCCUACAUUGUUUAAUAUAUUUGAUGGAAGGGUAACAAAAUAAAUUAGUAUUUGUGCUUCUAUAUUCCGCGCAAAUCUUCUCAGUUUUAUGAAGAGUGAAAAAACUAUCUACCCUGCUCUCCCAUCCGCACUCACACUCUCAUAUACACUCAUCCAAACAAAAACUCUUUCCACUUCCCUUCCUCCUCUUUUGUCACACCUUGAAGCAAAUAGGAUGUAAGAUUGAGGACAUGCAAAUGAACAAGAUUACGUGAACCUUCCUAACCCAUUAGACAUCAUAUGAUAGUUUUAUUUAUAUAUUGAUUUGAUCUAUUUAGAAAAAAUGUCAAAUCUAAGCAUUUAUAAGCAAAGUUGGAAGUUUUUAGAAAAUAGUAGGCUUGAACCUCUUUUAAGUUAUAGUAUUUUUUUUUUUAUGCUAUAUCAAUAUUAUAUGAGUUAAAAUUGUUUUAAAUAAUUUUCAUUUUUGAGAUCCAUCUAAUACUCCAAACCAAACAAGCAUUAUCAACAAUUCCAUUUUUAUGCAAAAUUCAUCCAUAGAUAAAAAUAAAACAUGCAACAAAAAUAACUAACUGAAAAAUAAAUUAUACACCAUAAUAACUUUAUAUUAUCAUACAAUGACACAGUGUAAAAUAAAGAUAUUAACUUUUACUAUUAUCAAAACUUUAUCUGCCAAACGUUUAAAAUCAAACAAUUUCAACAAAAUCUUUAAAUUUUAUUGGACUUUCCUCAUCUGUAUCUAUUUCUACAGAAAUGGCUUUAACUGCUUACUCGUAUUAACAGCUACUUUCGUAUAAAAUAUAUGUUGACAAAUUAUUCAUGGGCAUAAUUUAUUCUAAAUUUUUCACCAAACACUUGCAAAUAUCACUCAAUUCACAAGAUAAACCGGGCCAUAAAUUAUCUAUUCCAGACGAAACCAUGAAGCAUAAAAUUGACAACUGAAAGUAGCUAAAUAAACUAAAAGUUCAUGAAAAUCGAGAGUUAUUUUCGUAACUUCAGAUAAGCCUUUUUCAAAAGCGAUAAAAAUGAACUCCUACUCAACCGUACAAAAUACUAAAAAUGUAGAAAAUAUCAAUACACCAAUUCUUCCAUCUUAACAAUGCAAUGCUACAUAGUAUCACUAGCAAAAUAAAACCGGUAAAACACAACUAAAAAAAAAGAUAGUCCCAGGGAACAGCAAGGGGACAAAAAUAUCAACUCUGAGGCGAUGCUUUAGCAACGGCAGUCUGAGGCUGAGUGUUCCCACUGGCAUUACCAUCGGCAGUAUAUGCUGGAGCCUGAGUAUAACCAGCACCAUAAGAACUACUGCUGUAUGGAGGCGGUGCCUGACCAUAAGUAGGCUGGCCACCCUGAGGUGCACCAUAUGUUUGAGAACCAUACCCUGGUUGCCCUGCACCAUAUCCCGAAGGUGGUGCUCUCUGAGCACCAGAUUCUGGUUGGGGUUGAGAAUAACCAGAUGGUGGAGGCUGCGCAGGAUAUGCUGACUGACCAUAGCCUCCUACCGCACUAGGUGACUGUGACUGUCCAUAAACAGGAGGAUUAGCACUUGGCUUUUGAGAUUGAGGGGCUCCAUAACCUGGCUGUGGUUGACUUCCAUAAGCAGCUUGGGAUGUAGGGGGAACCCCAUAACCUGACUGAGGAGUUCCCUGAGGUGGGUAGCUGGCAGUGUUUGAGCUGGGCUGUUGGCUGGUAGGAUAACCUUGCUGUGGCUGUUGGGUAGAUGGAGCUUGGGCUGAAUCUCCCUGAGAUGCAUAACUUGCAGUGUGGCCAUCUGGUGCUGAGUUAUUCCCACUACCAUAGCCGGUAGUAGCUGACCCAUAGCCUUGCUGCUGAUCAUAUGCUGGUGGCUGUCCAUACCCUGAUUGAGAUUGUGCAUUGUAUGCAUUAUAGCUGUCCUGAGCAUAACCCUGUCCGGGUUGGCUAUAACCAAAAGAAGGUGGUUGACUGUAACUGUAAGCAGAGCCAUCCGCUGGAGGUGCAGGGCCUCCAGGAUUUUGCGGUUGCUGUGGCUGUUGACUAUAGUAAUCAUAGCCACCAGCUUGAGUAGACUGUUGGUGAGGUGGUGCAGAAGACUGGUCCCAGCUGGUGGAAUAUCCACCUGGUUGUUGAGGAGGAUAGCCUGCAUAAGGUGGUUGAGGCAUAUUAUACUGAGGUGAUGGACCAGAAUAUGCUCCAGGUUGCAUAUAGCCAUAACCAGGUUGCUGCAUUUGAGCAGGGGGAGCCCAGUUCGAGGGUGGUCGAGAUUGGUAGCCUUGCUGAGGAUAUCCACCAGACAUUGAAGGAUUUCUAACACGAUUCUGUGGAGACAAAUUCAAACCAAAUAUGAAGAGUGAAUUCACCCAAGUUUCCACAUUUCGAGUACAGAAAUCAACAGAUGCACACACAUACACAGGUUAAACUUACGCAGUUAAGAAUAAACAUGAAGAACACAAGAUAAAGUAUACAAGUUGCAUAAAAAGAUUGCAUACAAGAAUAGAAAGGGAUAUAUAUACCAACAUACCGUACUGGUUCGUGAUAAAACUGAGUUACUCCAGCAGCACACCUUUUCCCUAUUCGAAUUGAAUGGGUACAAAAGGAAGCACAGACCAAAGAAGCAGACAAGCAUACAAUUUGAAUUGCUUAAAAAGGCAAUCCAUCAUAUAGUAUCACAAAAUAUGUAUGAUCUUAUCUCAAUUAUUACACCAUAUAAUAUAUUCUUCAUAAUCAUAUUAAUUCAACUAGAGUAUCAGGACUACAAAUAUUUUACUGCAUAUGAUGAAGGAGUAACCAUAAAUAUACAGACUGUCAAGACCACUUCCCUGUUCUCCCAUGUACCUCCUUUUAACCUUUGUUUAACCCACUCUAACAGGUUAACCUCAAAGGAUUAUAAAAUAAAAGAAAAUUAAAUUAAAUAUUAUUUGAGUAGAACAGGAAUUGAAAAUAGGGACCUGAAAAUGUAUUUAAUGUGUGUAACUCGAGCGUCAAAACUAUCAGUUAAAGGGCACAAGAUUAAGAAAAACAGUUGAAUGAUAAGACAGAUAAAAAGUGGGCAUGGGCUAUAGAAAGGCAAUGAUGCCACAAGAAAUGAACAACCCACUACACACAUCCGAAACAACAGACGGAUCAUAAAAGAAGUCUUGACACAUAACUUGUUAGUUUAAACAAUUAUAACUAUAAAUUGAUGAAGUAAUAGUAUAGGAAAGUUAUUUUUCCUCACAAUAGCAACUACAGGUUAUUAUGCCAAAUGUAAGUCCAGCAUAAGACACAAAUAUAAAAUAUUUUUUCAAAUAUAUGAAGUUUUUACGAAUUAACUAAAAAGCACAAUUGGCAUGGUUGAAAAGGAUUUCAACACAAUAAUCAAUAUAGUUUAGUAAGGACACUGUAAGUAAAAAAAUGUAUCAAUAGGAGACUUACUGCCCUUGAUAACAAUUAUCAAAACUGAGAUUUAGAACCAUACCAGGGCAUGAUGAGGGAACACCAACAAAGGAAUUCAUGUUGGUGUCACCAAUGGUCCAAUAGACACUAUAAUCCUACAAUAGUCCCAAUAACAAGAUCAGUCAUAGGAUACACAGUUAAUAAUAUUCCAUUGUUGAACAGGCUAUAAUCCCAAUGAGAAUCCACUUGGACAAAAAAAUGUCAUAAUAAUAGUAGCCUUCAUGGCCCCCAGCAACCUAGCCCACAAAAGCGUUGAAAGACCCACCACACUAAUGAACUGGGCCAUGAGAAAAACUUUACCACAGUUAAAACAGUCUUUGCAAGAUCUUGGCAUCUUGGGGAGAAAAGACAAUCCAAUUCGAAAAUAAUCCCAUUAAGGUCCUCACUUUCUGUAUGUAUAAAAAUCGGUAUGAUUUAUUAUCUAAUAAUAUAGCAGAUAACAAUGACACACAAACACAUAUAGACACAGUUUUUUACCAUUGACCUAAGCUAAGACCAAACUAAAGAUACUGAUCUGUGAAUAUGGUACUACUAAAUCAGGACCCAAUUCAUGAACAUACCAUACAUUUGUUAACACCAUAAUAUAGCUGAUAAAUAUCAUGGAUACUACAGUGGCUUGUCUCCCUAAUCAUGUCUGUUUUUGGUGAGCAAAUGCAACUAAGCGGAGGACAAUUGGAGAUUACAAGUAAAAACAUCAUAACAUCAAUUGGCAAUUCAGUGUGUUUUGUUUUAAAGUUGGGAAGUCUCAAACGGAAGUUGAACUCAUUCAGACUAGAGAGAUGGAUUGGAGUGUGUAACUGUUAAACAAGCACACAAUUUAUCUUCCACCAUUUUGCAUUUUUUUAUACUAGUCUUGAAACAAAACUAUGCACUAAUUCUCUUCCAGGAACAAUACAACAAGUAACAGACAUCCAUCGAUAUAGAUGUAUCAAUUAUCAAAAGAUUACUUGUUGAAUAUACUUACAGCUGAAGAAACAGUGCUUAUUUAAACAUAUACUUACAGCUAAAAAGUCAAUUUAAUCAGGAGAUCAAUGAAUUCAGAACAUAUAAGUUGAUUGAUAAUGCUCACGAUAUGAAGUAAUAUCAUUAAUAAGAUCAAUGAAUUGAUAAACAUGGACGUAAACAUCAUUUAUGCCAACUAAGGUGAAAUCAUCACAUAAUUUACCAAAUUAUUCUCUCCCAGCAAUGAAACAGAAUAAAUUAUUGAAGACAAUCCAAAACUCGUCUAACAUGUUAAUGAAUCCAUCAGUUCUAGUUUUAUAUUUUAUUUUAACAUCAUACCAAAUAACAAAGUUCUAGUUCUAAAUUUUAUUUUAAUAACAUACAAAAAUAACGAAGACCCAGGAGGCAAUUACAAGUGCACAAUAUCAUCCUUACAAUCACAUAAAGUCACCAAUGUGAUCAAAUAAACAUUCUAAAAGAUGAUUAUAUAUCAGCAACAAAAAGAAAACAGAACCGAGUACAAAAUCCACAAUUUAAACACUAAACUGUACUUCGCACAAGGCAGGCAUGACAUGCUAAGCCAAAUGUAUCCACCAGAGAAAAUUUUUAACAUACCUC
RNAcentral lists this long non-coding RNA (19972 nucleotides) under Phaseolus vulgaris (common bean). RNAcentral's name for it is "long non-coding RNA (PVUL_LNC001095)". Lineage: Eukaryota; Viridiplantae; Streptophyta; Magnoliopsida; Fabales; Fabaceae. The record is from RNAcentral.